UACGGGGGGAGCAAGCGUUGUUCGGAUUUACUGGGCGUAAAGGGCGCGUAGGCGGCCACCGCAAGUCGAUUGUGAAAUCUCCGGGCUUAACCCGGAAAGGUCAACCGAUACUGCGGGGCUAGAGUGCAGAAGGGGCAACUGGAAUUCUCGGCGUAGCGGUGAAACGCGUAGAUAUCGAGAGGAACACCUGCGGCGAAGGCGGGUUGCUGGGCUGACACUGACGCUGAAGUGCGAAAGCUAGGGGAGCGAACGGG
Molecule: ribosomal RNA, 254 nt
Filed under: uncultured bacterium
Lineage: Bacteria
Description: partial 16S ribosomal RNA
Rfam family: Bacterial small subunit ribosomal RNA
Source: RNAcentral